RNAcentral lists this ribosomal RNA (429 nucleotides) under Bacteroidota bacterium. RNAcentral's name for it is "Bacteroidetes bacterium partial 16S ribosomal RNA". It matches the Rfam family "Bacterial small subunit ribosomal RNA", at positions 355 to 776 of the family's 1533-position model. Lineage: Bacteria; Pseudomonadati; Bacteroidota. The record is from RNAcentral.
UAGGGAAUCUUCCGCAAUGGGCGAAAGCCUGACGGAGCAACGCCGCGUGAGUGAUGAAGGUCUUCGGAUCGUAAAACUCUGUUAUUAGGGAAGAACAAAUGUGUAAGUAACUAUGCACAUCUUGACGGUACCUAAUCAGAAAGCCACGGCUAACUACGUGCCAGCAGCCGCGGUAAUACGUAGGUGGCAAGCGUUAUCCGGAAUUAUUGGGCGUAAAGCGCGCGUAGGCGGUUUUUUAAGUCUGAUGUGAAAGCCCACGGCUCAACCGUGGAGGGUCAUUGGAAACUGGAAAACUUGAGUGCAGAAGAGGAAAGUGGACUUCCAUGUGUAGCGGUGAAAUGCGCAGAGAUAUGGAGGAACACCAGUGGCGAAGGCGACUUUCUGGUCUGUAACUGACGCUGAUGUGCGAAAGCGUGGGGAUCAAACAGG